AUUGAACGCUGGCGGCAGGCCUAACACAUGCAAGUCGAACGCGUGGCGGACGGGUGAGUAAUGUCUGGGAAACUGCCCGAUGGAGGGGGAUAACUACUGGAAACGGUAGCUAAUACCGCAUACCAUCGGAUGUGCCCAGAGUGGAUUAGCUAGUAGGGGGGGUAACGGCUCACCUAGGCGACGAUCCCUAGCGGGUCUGAGAGGAUGACCAGCAACCCGGGUACUGAGACACGGUCCAGACUCCUACGGGAGGCAGCAGUGGGGAAUAUUGCACAAUGGGCGCAAGCCUGAUGCAGCCAUGCCGCGUGUAUGAAGAAGGCCUUCGGGUUGUAAAGGACUUUCAGCGUGGAGGCGUUACUCGCAGAAGAAGCACCGGCUAACUCCGUGCCAGCAGCCGCGGUAAUUC
RNAcentral lists this ribosomal RNA (406 nucleotides) under uncultured bacterium. Its description in RNAcentral is "partial 16S ribosomal RNA". It matches the Rfam family "Bacterial small subunit ribosomal RNA", at positions 30 to 526 of the family's 1533-position model. The record is from RNAcentral.